Hyla sarda is the source of this 516-nucleotide long non-coding RNA. RefSeq lists it as uncharacterized. Lineage: Eukaryota; Metazoa; Chordata; Amphibia; Anura; Hylidae. The transcript is spliced from 3 exons. The record is from RefSeq and is a predicted model, not a curated record.
CUUUGCACAGGUUUUGAUAAAUCUCCCUCAUAAUGCUUAGAAUUGAGGCUAAGAAGUUCAAUCUUGGUUUCACUAGACCAUAGAAUCUUGUUUCUCACAGUCUAAGAGACAUUUAAAUGCUUUGUUUUUUUUUUCCAAACUCCAGGUCGCGUUCAUAUUUUACUGAAAAGAAGCUUCUUUCUGGUCACUUUUCCUUGAAACCCAGAUUGGCAGAGAGCUGCAGGGAUGUAUGACCUUCUAGAGUGUCCAGGAGAUAAGAGACCAAGAGUGCAAGAGAGCAAAUUGAUUGACUACAGUCCAGGGGCUGGACUAAGCUCAUUGGUCAGCAAACCUAACAGGCAGAGGCAUUACAGAGAGUAAUAGGCAUCAGGCGGCACCAGGUAAAAGGCUGACGGGUGAUGACUAAUAGAAUAUUUUUCAUUGAAGACUCUGCUCCUACAGGCCCGGACAGGUCUUUUGUUUUUUCAUUUAUUUUUUUUUAUCUUUACUUGAAUUAAAAAUGUUCAAAUAGGUGAA